AUGCGGCUUUUCAAAGCUUUCCAUGACAACACCUUAGAUAUUGCACGCCUAAACUAUGGUGUGAUCACUCUGAUUCCUAAGAUGAAUGGGGCUAAGAAAAUCCAGCAAUAUCGCCCCAUAUGCUUACUUCGGUGCCCCUAUAAACUUAUCACUAAAGUGCUUGACAAUAGGGUUGCUGUUUAUGCUGAUAAGCUAAUUAGUCGACACCAAAAUGCAUUCAUUAAACACAGAAACAUAAUGGAUGGAAUCCUCACUCUUCACGAGGUGUUGCAUCAUGCGCAUGUCAAGAAAAAAGUUGGGGUGGUUUUAAAAUUGGACUUUGAAAAAGGUUACGACAAGAAAAACCGGGACUUCCUCCUUGAGUGCCAUCGUAGCCGUGGUUUUGGCCCAACCUGGUGCGGAUAG
RNAcentral lists this ribosomal RNA (405 nucleotides) under Triticum aestivum (bread wheat). RNAcentral's name for it is "partial small subunit ribosomal RNA". The record is from RNAcentral. Lineage: Eukaryota; Viridiplantae; Streptophyta; Magnoliopsida; Poales; Poaceae.